AAAAAAACACUUUUGUUUUGUGUUGGAACAACUUGUGCCCAAUUUAAGAGCUUGUUCAGGUAAAAGCGACUCACACUACACAGAAGUUCUGGAUUUAUGACCUCAAGGUGCAUGUUGAUGUCCAAUUCAGACGGGUCGCUGUUCUUCGUGGUCUCCCUGUCUAUAUGUUUGAGGGUCACUCUUCAGAAGAUAUGAAAACCCAUCAGAGAAAUUGUCAGACUGGCUGAUGCUCUUUGCUGUGAUUUAGGCCCUGGAUAUAGGCUACCCAAACGAGUUGUCUAACAAAUUUGACUGUCCAUAAAGACUUUGUGGGUAUGC
Molecule: long non-coding RNA, 318 nt
Organism: Triplophysa rosa
Lineage: Eukaryota; Metazoa; Chordata; Actinopteri; Cypriniformes; Nemacheilidae
Exons: 3
Source: RefSeq, a predicted model, not a curated record